Non-coding RNA from Schizosaccharomyces pombe (fission yeast), 229 nucleotides. Lineage: Eukaryota; Fungi; Ascomycota; Schizosaccharomycetes; Schizosaccharomycetales; Schizosaccharomycetaceae. The record is from the annotation of a GenBank genome assembly.
AUAAUUGACUACUCUUAUUCUAAUAUAUAUAUUUACUCGAGUUUCAUUGUAACAUUAAGCUAAAUAAAAAUAACCUGCUUCAAAGAACCUCACUGCAUGCUUAAGUUUUGACCUUCCUAUUCUAAAAUCCUUUACUAAGUGAAUGCCUUUAAGUAACAUUUCGAAACGUAAUAUGAUGUCGAUAAGGUUAUUCAAGAAUAGCAUUAUGCAGCUAGCUAGCGCACUUCUG